AGCAUAUGCGAAAGUAGAGAGAAUACUAUGAAAAAUCCUCUCUGUCACCUGGUUUCCAUAAUAUCAACACAUGAACAGACUUGUCUCAUUCAUCCCCCCAUUUGCUUCUUCUCAACCCUUGAUUAUUUUGAGAAAAUCUCAGACGUAUCCUUUCAUUUAUAGAUGCUUCAGUGUGUAUCUCCAGAUCUUCUGUGUAUUUUGGUAGUUCUUUCUCCUCUCUACUGACAACUGCCAUUUUUUUCUUGCUGUAAUGUGUUAAUUUUUCUCUUAUAACUUGCUUUCUUAUUUUUACUCAAAAUUAAUUGUUUGGGUUAAAAUUUGAGGAAGGUUCAUCUUGUACGUAUUUAAGAGAAUUUUGUUGGUGAAAAUCCUUAAAGCUUACUUUUAGGAUUGAGGCUUUCUGAAUAAUUGAGCUUCCCACCCUUUGAGUGCUGAAUGACUGUAUUUUCAUCAAGUAUUUAAUAUAUAACUCUUGGAUAAUCAAAACUUUGAUUCCAAGCAUUUUAGUAAGAUAAAACAAACUGUCACUUUUUUCUUACAUAUUUUAACAAAUCAGAAAUAAUGGUUCCUUUUAAUUUUUAUAUAGGAAGAGGCAUAUUUCUACAAAAAAUUGAGAUACCUGAAGAAUGUUCUUUCCUUGUUAAUGUGUAAUUAACAAAAUCAGCAAAAGACUCAUUUUAUGAAUCCAUGAAAGAGAAGUUUUAUAAAUACAAAUUUCCAGCAAGUACACUCUAUAAAUAAAAAUAGAUUUGGUCUUGGUGAAGCUUUGUCUUAUAAAUAAAAAUUAUGUUAAACAUGUAUAAUUUUAAAAUAUGAAGUGAAGAAAGGGUUCCUAGUUUUGGAAAUUGGCAGCAUAUGCAGAAGAUAUGAACAAUAGGUCAAUGAAUAUUGGAUUUACAGCAUUCUUUCCUAAAAUUGAGAGUUUCUGUAAUUUAUAAAUUGGAUAUUUCUUGGCUCAAUUCUUUGUACUAUUCCAUUUGGGUAAAGCUGUUUUUCAGAAGAAUUUAGAACUAUUUUUUUCUUGAUAAAAAGGCAAUGAAAUGAUUUAAGAUUUGUCUGCAAAAUAAUUGCAUGACACAAGGUUUUCAUGGCUAAAAAUAAAGGGUAUUGUUGAUUUGAGGAGUUAGCCAGUGACAGUGAUGCUUAAUGUGUUUGUUCCUCAUGAACUCACAUUUCUGAGUAAACUUUGAAAUAUGAUUAAUAGUUCAGUAGGUCUAAAAAAUGAGAAAUUAAUGAAAUGAGUGACAGAUUUUGUUCACAGUUUAAUGUGUUUUUAGUAGUUGGUUUGUCUGGAGCAUGGAAUGAAAUACUCCAGACGAACCAGUUUUUUUUUAAAUCAAGUGCAAAAUUUUAGGUAUAAAAUCCAUUCGUAAUUCUUUUUUGUUUGUUUGCUUUUUGAGAAAGAGUCUCACUCUGUAGCCCAAGCUGGAGUGCAGUGGUGCAACCUCCACCUCUGGGGCUCAAGCAAUUCUUGUGCCUCAGCCUCCCGAAUAGCUGGGACUACAGGCACACGCCACUACGCCCAGCUAGUUUUUUGUAUUUUAGUAGAAACAGGGUUUCACCGUGUUGCCCAGGGUGGUCUCGAAUUCCUGAACUCAGGAGAUCCUCCCGUCUCAGCCUCCCAAAGUGCUGGGAUUACAGGCGUGAGCCACUGCGCCCAGCCUAUUCAUAAUUCUUUAUAGGGCUUAUUACCAAAGAACAGAAGGCUUUUUAAAAGUCAUCUAUUGUUUAGUGAUUAUUAAAAAUAAGUCUUCUGAUGAGGAUUACAUGUAUCUAACUACUGUAAAAUAGAUUUCAUGUCAGUGCUACAUAAUCAGUAUCUAGGUUCAGUACCUGAAAGUUCAUUUGACCAUGCCUUUUUAUGAUUUUAAUCCUACCAUAGUCAUUUUUGUCCUAUUUGCCAUUCACGGAAAACUUUAUCAGAAUAUAAGUAAAUGAUCUUGAAAACAUUAAUAUUUAUCUUUUUUGUACAUACUAUACAUUUUCUUACCAUACAUAUUAUAUGUUCUCUGACCUCUGGAACAUUAACUCACAAAUUGUUUCCGUUUUCCUUUACCUAGAUUGCAUGUAGAUGUCAAAACUGUGCAAGCACCAAGGAAUGCUAAAUGUUGAGGAAUGGUCAUAGACUUAGCAACCCACAUAUACUGAGAUUGUUUAUGAGAGCCAUUUGGUCUGAGUAACAUGUAUAGGGUAUGACUAAAGUAGGUGGUAAGGCCAAAAAGAGUAAGUGAGGUAAGGUGGGGGUGGGUUAGUGGAUUUAAAAAAGUAAUUUGUAGCUCUACCUUCAGGAAAUGUCAGUGAUUCAACAUUCAAAUCUACCUAAUCAACUGUAUCUUUACUACCUAUAUAAGUUUUGUAUGUGAGAGAAUGAUUCUCAUUUUGUAUAUGUGCAUAUUCAGUCUUCUGAUUCAUAGGUCCUAAAUGCUUUUGUAUUUAUUUAGGCUUAUUUUGAAGCCCAGAAUAUGGUCUUUUGUGGUAAAUGUUCCAUUUGAGCUCUUGAAAAGAAUGUAUAUUCUGGUGGUUUUGGACAGAUUGUGCUGUAACUAUCAAUAAAGUCAAGUUAAUUAAU
Molecule: long non-coding RNA, 2569 nt
Filed under: Homo sapiens (human)
Lineage: Eukaryota; Metazoa; Chordata; Mammalia; Primates; Hominidae
Description: non-protein coding lnc-C1orf52-2:1
Source: RNAcentral